Anopheles darlingi is the source of this 5389-nucleotide RNA transcript. It is a transcript of the gene named allatostatin-A receptor-like, with no coding region annotated. The record is from RefSeq and is a predicted model, not a curated record. Lineage: Eukaryota; Metazoa; Arthropoda; Insecta; Diptera; Culicidae. The transcript is spliced from 5 exons.
GGUGGUGAUGUGAAAUGGUGAUAUUUCAAUCUCUUGCAAACGAGUAGGAAUCAAAAAUGAAUAAAAUGGUGGUUACGGAGAACUUCACCCAGCUGCUGGUGGACGCAGCAAGUCGCGCCAACCUAUCGGCCUACAGUACGGAUGCAGGUCCUGCCGUGUCGCACGAUUCCGAGAUAGCUUCCAUCGUGUCGAAGAUCGUGGCCAUACUGUUCGGUUUCAUCGGUAUCACAGGGCUGCUGGGCAAUGCGAUGGUGGUGCUCGUUGUGCUGUCCAACCCACAGAUGCGAUCGACCACCAAUCUACUGAUUAUUAACCUGGCGAUCGCGGACCUGCUGUUCGUGGUGUUCUGCAUCCCGUUCACUGCCACCGAUUACGUACUGGCCUCGUGGCCCUUCGGUGAUCUCUGGUGCAAAAUUGUACAGUAUCUGAUCGUAGUGACGGCACAUGCCAGUAUCUACACGUUGGUGCUAAUGUCCCUGGAUCGCUUCCUGGCGGUUGUGCAUCCGAUCGCCAGUAUGGUUAUACGGACGGAGCGCAACACCGUCCUGGCGAUCACCGUGCUGUGGAUAGUCAUCAUUACCACGGCCCUUCCGGUGCCCUUCGCUCACGGCGUUAGCCUCUACACCGACGACUCUUACGAGACGGAGAAGUGCGGUUUUCUGGAGAACGAUAACUUUUCCUGGGCUGCCUUCCACAUUGCGUUCUUCCUCAGUUCGUAUGUAGUGCCCCUGAUACUGAUCAGUGUGCUGUACAUGUGGAUGCUAUCGCGACUCUGGCGGAGCUCGGUCGGCGGGCGGUCAGCUGAAUCGAAGAAGGGCAAAAAGCGUGUCACGCGCUUGGUGGUGAUUGUGGUGGCGGCCUUCGCAUCACUUUGGUGCCCGAUACAGGUUAUAUUGCUAUUGAAAAGUAUCGACGCCUUCGAAACGGUAUCACCCUUUCAUCUUUCGCUACAAAUCAUCUCCCACGUGCUGGCGUACACUAGUUCCUGCAUCAAUCCGCUACUAUAUGCGUUCCUCUCGGAGAACUUCCGGAAAGCAUUCCGCAAGAUCGUCUACUGUGGACCCGGAAGCCGACGACAUGGCAGCCAACGACAUAUGCCACUGCCAACGAAAACAACACGCACCGGCAGCUGUCCGGACAUUUUAUAACCAGAAGCAGCCGAGGAAACGUCCGUCACGUUUGUUUAAGCCUUAUUUGUUCACUCCAGCAGCCGGGUCCGUCCAGGAGCGGCGAUAUAGCUAAUCGAACCCAGAUGCAAUCCGAGACUGAAUACUGCAUCGAUUUUUCUAAAAAAACAUCUAUAAAAAAUAACACAAAAAAAAGGUGAUUAUGAACAGGAAAACCACAGCAGGCCGGCUGCCCAGCCUCUUCAGAUGUGGUUUCUAUGGCGCACUACCGAAGGGGAAAACUCCAUUGCCACCGCAUCAUCAUAAUCCGUAAUUACCCGUAGCAGCAGCCCCGGAGAGUCGAGGGCCACCAUUAGCAACACCGAGCGGGCCCGGGGGUUGGUGUAAAUGAAUCUUCCUCUAGCGUGUACAUUAACCAGGCCAUAAGGACGAUAAAGCACAGCAACCGGCACAGACCAUGGGGCACUCGUUUGGAAAGUUUUCUUUCUCUUUUCCGUUAUUAGCGACAGGAAUGGCCGACCAAACGAUGCAUCCUUAGCGUUCUGCACUUUCCCCUGCGUGGAGUAUAGUGGCGCUGUCUCUGCCAGGCCUUGCCCGUUGAGGCAAAAUUUUUUAUAGGUCCAUCGAGUGGUCCCAUCGUCAUCAUCAUCAUCAUCAUUAUCAACAACAUCCUCAUCAUCUGCCGGGCCCGCAAAUUAUGUCAGUUGAGUCUCGAUGGCUCGAUGGUUGAUUCUGUUAUGUAUAAUUAGCAGCCCUGUUGCUAGAAGGUAGGUUGCUUAUCGUGGACAGCGCACCUGAAAGUGGAACCGUACUGGAGUAAGCGUUGGAGGUAUCGUUGUGGAUUAAAACAGGUGGGAUGGGAAUUAGCAGUACAAAACGGUAUUCAGUGGCGAGCCUAGCCCCUCUAACGGAAGGAAGCCUGAAUAGCGCGCUAUGCAGGAUUCUCCGGAUAUCUGAUUUCCAUGGAAGAAGAUUGUAAAUUCCAGACAAUGAUGGGGAUCAUAACUAUGGGUCCGUGCAUUCUCGUCGAUGGAAUGACCUGUUUUGUAAAUGUACCAUACCAUUCUAACCGGCUCGCCGCUUGGAACCGUUUAAGUAAAUCAAAUUAAAUAUUAAAACCAUUUGCAGAGCCGGCCACUAAACCGGGUGGCUUCGUUUUUGCAAGAAAAAUGACCGACAUCGGCAGUGGUUGUACUAUUGCAUACUUAAAGAGAUAGAAUAUCUGGUUUCAAAGCUGUUUCACCGUAAGUUCGAUGUAGUUUAAGCGAGAUGGAUAAUAAAUUCCCCUUACUUUAGCCUCGCCUUCUUACUGGGGUUGCUAAGUAGACUCAUCCGGCUCAGGAUAGGAUGGAUCGAAUUGGCGGGCAUUGCUUCUAGUGUGGAUUAUCUCAUCAGCUUAACAGCUCCAAUCUGAGCCCCGUACCGUUUCUCUCGAAGAUAUCGUGAUGUCUGAUUUUUAUGGCCCCGCCUGUGCGACCGACCCGAAAACCUUUUCUUCUUUACACUUUUUAUCGUCGAAUUGAAAAGCCUGCGAUGCCGUAUCAUGGUAUCCGGCAUCAUGGAUCGAUUUCGUACGCCGGGAUCGUGAUCCAUGCUAAGCACGUGGCAUCAAUCAUCUCAACGUACCCAGUGAUCCCAUCGAAUCGUCGAGCGUACUUCUGUGCGAAGCUCUGUUUAUCAAUGCAUUCCAUCACCGGCAGCAGUAGGUCAAAGUGGCAAUUUUCCUUCCUCCCGGUGUACGCAAUGCGGGUAAUAUCGCGCGGGGGAAAAAAAAAGGACGAAAGAAAAUCCGUCAAGUCAGCACCGUCAUGCUCAUGUUCUCAACCCACCAUAUUUCCCGUCAUAUGCUCGCACGAUAAGGCUCGUUGGCCUCGUGGCCGUCGCGUCACAGGAUGCCGAGCAGACUUUUCCCAGACGACCGUCGACCCUGAGCAGCAGUGAGGGGGGUUUUAAAAAAAAAUCACACACCACCCGGCGGAAUGUAUUUUGCAAUGAUACUUGCACAUAAAUCACACCUCGUUCGUUCACUGGGUCGCUACGCCAGCAGCCGCAGCGCGGUCGCCAGUGGACCAGCCGUACCCGGUGUGACCGUAAACCAACGCUACGUGAGUUGACUGUGUCCACGCGUUGAGCGCGUGACUAAGCUCGAAAAGCUUCUUCCAUCCAUCAGCCAGCCAAGUCUGUUCGGUUGGAAUGUUUUCGGUUGCUGCAUGCUUGAUGAGAAACCAACCAACGGUUGAUGAUGUGCCUGCUGUGAUGUUGGUUUCAUUUAAAUUGACAAACUUUGCUUUUGCUCUCGGUGCAAUUGUUUCGAGUAGAAUUUCGCAUUUGGAAUCUGCAUUUUUUUUUGAAAAAAAAUAUUUGUCAAACAUUUUGGUCACCAUCAUGCCGGGCACUACGAGUGAAAAUCUCACAUACACAACGCUUCGAGAGAAACGCUGAUAGCUGUUGCUGAGUGCAAAAUCCAUACCACAACCAACCUGCCAUACGUUUCGAUGGAAACGAAUAUAUACACACACAUACGAGCGUGCGUGCGCGUGCGUGUGCACUAGAAGUAAUUGAAAUGCAGUAAAAAGCGACAGGCGAAUCCAUGUAAAUAAAAAUCCCAUAUCAUAUUCCCGAUUUUCCCGAAAAAAAAACAAAACAUAAAAUUCACUGCAUCUGAACCGUGACAUCUGGAAGGCUGGAUAAUGCAUAUGCAGUACCCUACCUUCCCGGAGCAAUGCGGUGUCUGAGCUAACUGAUAAGUGGAGUUGACUGUAUGGUUGUUGCGUAAAACAAAGCUAUUCGACUGUUACGUUAGCAAUCGUCAUGAAACAUUAACAUUAGAUAAAUAUCAAGAGCCGCCGAGCGCGUCUGGUAGGAGAAAGAAAUUCAAAUUCAUUAUCAUAACAUGUAGCGAAUGAAUGGAUGUCUUAUGUACCGAUGGUUCAGCGAAUAACACAUCUUCGUACCCGAAUUUCAAUGGGUCGAUGACCAAGCAGUUUAUAGCUCAUAUUGAAUGGCGAAUGUGACAAGUUAUUGUAUAUACCGGACCGCAUAUGCAUUCGUAGCUUCUCCACAAUUCAAAGCAAAUCCGACCCUCGGUGUGAUGGUAGCAGGAAAUUUAGGCCGUGACCAAUGUUCGCAUUUCGAUUGAAUAAACGAAACAUAGAGUACGCAUAAUUCAAUACGAGUUUCAAGACGAGUGUUAGAAGUAACGCUGGGUGUGGUUGACUAAAAAUAUCAAAUAGAGCUUUUCGAAGAAAUAAGAACAAAAUAAGCUAGCGGGCGUAUGUUGUGCGCUUUCAGAUAAUGAGGACUUUAUUUACGAAUGCCAAUAUUUUGAUAUCCUGUUGAGUAUUAUGGUACCGUUUAUAGAUCGAACGAUUUGCUCGAUAAAUGAUAGUAUGUAACAAAUCAUUUACUGAUAUGCUGCUGAUAUGAGAAUAUAGUAAAGAAUUCGUUAAAGUUUUUUUUUCUUGAGAAAUUAUUUAUCUUAAUGAAUGAUGGUCGACGAGUUAAACAUUCAAUGUAGUUGCUUUUUUUUACGGUUAUUCCAUAGAAGAAAUUUAAAGAAAGUUAUAGCAAAUCAAACAAAAUCUCUAAUGUUACCACACAACCGAACCAAUAAGCAACCGUUAUAGAUGAUCAAACCGAGCCUAAUCUAUUCGAUAGAUACAGAAGCCGUAAACAUAAUUUUAUCUCAUAAGUUGCAUUUCGUUAACUCAUCUCAAACUAUCUAGCUUGAACAACGAAGCUCGGAGGCGUUUCAUAUAAAUCCGUUUUAAUCAUCUCCACACUACCCUUGAUGAUAGUUCACUAUUGCGCCUGGUUUAUAUGUUGAAAAUUGUACAAAAGCGCGUAUUUGGAGGUGCGAUCAAAAAGUAGUGGACUGGUACAAGGAAAUAUAUAAUUGUUCAAAUUGCUCUAGCAAACCGUUCUACUAGAUGAUAUGCAAUAACGGCAAAAGAUGACUUACCAUCCAGUAAAAAAGCGGUAAACUCAGAACCAAAACGUCCCACUCCGAAUCAAUACACCGCCACUGCAACACAAUGUGAGACGAUGGGAAAUUUGUGAAUUUACGCUGGUGCAGACGAUGCUUGCACUGGAGAAUCAUUAUCUAAACUAACACAACCGAACAGGGUUUGAACAUUACGAGUACCAUUUCGAUAGCGGCACUUUUUAACAGCAUGUCAAAUUACUAAUACCGACCAACGAUCCGCGGUGUGAAAGGUGUGAUGAUCGUUUUCUAAAAUCUGUCUUGAAGUUGAAGAAAUAAA